RNAcentral lists this long non-coding RNA (201 nucleotides) under Mytilus galloprovincialis (Mediterranean mussel). Lineage: Eukaryota; Metazoa; Mollusca; Bivalvia; Mytilida; Mytilidae. The record is from RNAcentral.
GUGGUGUUUUCCUCUGGUAAUGAAUAAUUGAAAACGGUUGGAAACUGGUUUUUUUCAAUUUUCCUUAUUUUAGCAUUUUUUUACCUUAUUUUUUGAAAAAAAUCAAAGAGAUACCAAAAAUUUUAUUUUUAUUAUUUUUAACACCAACAUAGUACUAGACUUCCAUAUAGGUAGUUUAGUCAUACCUGCUGUUUUUCUCCG